AUCCACACUCAAAAAAAUGGUUUUCCGGCACUGUUCGUUUUACACAUAUAUGUUUUGUUAAAACAACACAAAUAUAUUUAGUUUUCCGACAAAACACAAUUGUAUUGUGUUUAAUCAACUUAAAAUGUUUAAUUUUAAAUUUUACUUAAUUAUCAAUCGUUAAAGUAACGUAAAGGGUUUAAUUUCGUGAUUCAAAAAAAACCGGAAGUGACGAUUUCCAACGCAUUUGAUGACGGUGUGGAGGGGAGCAAGAGGUAUCAGUCAGGUUUGUGCAGAAUUUGAGACAUCCAGAAUUACCAUAGGCCCAUUAGAAUCAACAAUCUUUGCCAAACUUGAUUCGGACUGCAAAAUUUACGAAGAUGUUUUCAUACUGAAGAAGAGACCUUGGACAAAUACUGAAACCCUCUUGGUGCCCACUACACAGGCAGGGGUGUCCAGACCUGCUCUAGGAAAGCCAGUGUUCUGUGGGGUUCAGCUCUAACACACCUGCCUGGAACUUCAGACUAAUGAAAUUGAAGUAUCCAAAUGAAGACCCUAGCAGUAUGGAGUAUAUGGAUACAGACGUUGCCAGCAGUCAGGAGGUGAUCCAGAAGACUCAUGGGAAUCUAUUUGAAGCUGCAUCAUUGAAGACAGUCCAGCAGAAGUUGGAGUUUUAAAGGAUAAAGUUCUUCAGGACCUAUAGCAGUUUACAGUCUGUAAAACCAUGUUACUGGGACUGAUUUAUGGACUGAACUUGAGCAACCCUCCUGAACCCAGGUACACAUUUGGAAUACUGAAGAAGUUAUUUCUGGAGCCACUUCCUGUUCCUGGAAUAAGGUUUGAUUGGUUGCCCAUGAAUGCCAAUUAGAAUUGUAUUUGCUAUUUUGUGUAAUUUUGUAAUGUGGUUUAAACUGUAUUUUACUGUGUGUAAUUAUUUAUUGCUUGUUUAACAAAUACACUUUGAUCAUUUGUGA
This is a long non-coding RNA of Carassius gibelio (silver crucian carp), 953 nucleotides long. RefSeq lists it as uncharacterized. The transcript has 5 exons. NCBI's taxonomy places the organism in Eukaryota, Metazoa, Chordata, Actinopteri, Cypriniformes, Cyprinidae. The record is from RefSeq and is a predicted model, not a curated record.